This is a non-coding RNA of Misgurnus anguillicaudatus (oriental weatherfish), 1821 nucleotides long. The record is from RefSeq and is a predicted model, not a curated record. NCBI's taxonomy places the organism in Eukaryota, Metazoa, Chordata, Actinopteri, Cypriniformes, Cobitidae.
AAAAAAACGGGGGGCUAGUUUGACCCAUAGGUUUGACCGUCUUUUUUGGAGUGGCGGCUGGCUUGACUGCAGUGACCAACCGGAGCCAAGUAGACAGGAAUAAAUGAAGAUACAGCCCAUAGAAAUACUUAUUAUUGGUGAUCAACUGCUAUUGACAUUUUUGAAUCGGGACAAAUGUGGAGUGAUUCGGAAGAAAAACGUUUGCAACACAUCCAUUCCAGAGUGCUGUGACAGAUAAAACUGACACGCUUGAUGAGGACACAGUCAAAGCUUUAAAAGACCGUGUGAUAAAGCAGUCUUCAAUUACUACGGUGUCUGAAUUGCAAGAAGAAGUGACCCUCCACUUAAACAUGUGACAUCUAAACUGUUUUGUGUUUUGGUUCAGCUUUUUACAAGUUUAUCUUAAGUUAAAGACGGAGUACACCAUUUUUGAAAGCCAAUGUUAACAUUUGAAAUUACCUAAACAAACAUGUCUCUACCCCAAUAGAAUCUGGACCUUCUUUUGAUAGACCCACCACACACAUACGCAACCCUGGCAAGGAUGUCGGUUAGUAGACACGCCCCUUACUGCUGGUUGGCUACAAGUGUGUUUUGGUAGUCGGCCCCAAUUUCCUUUUCCAAAAUGUUUUUCAAACAUUGUGCACUCUGCCUUUAAAUUGCACUUUAAAGUGUGUGUUGCAGGUUAACCACCACUGUCGAUUAAUGCGUACAUAAAUCACUCAAGAUAUGUGUAUAAUUUUUAAAAUGUCUCAAAAAUGGUCUUAAAGACCACUUUUUUUUACGUUUUUGGUAUUAACGGUUUUUUUAACGCAAUUCUGCGAUGACGUCACGUUGGGGAGAAGUGGAGAAAGACUCAGCCAGAGCCAUAGAGAUAGAUGAGACAUUUAUUGCUGUUUAAUACUUACGUAUAUAAUUUGGAAAUCAUAUAUACAUCGUAGGAAAUAUAUAAUGUGUUAUACUGCAAAGUUACCUUGCUAAUUAUUAUUUAUGAUAUAUGUGGAGAUAAAUAAAACUUCGCAAAUCUGCUGAUUUGAUCCAUUCAUGUCCUGACCACCAGGCAAGAGAUUUUUAAACAUCCUUAAUCCACACUUACUAGUCUAUCAAAUAAUAUCUCAAAUAUAUUGUUUUGUGAAAUAAAAGGAUGCUUUGUUAUAUUGUUUAUGCGAUUAUAACGAAUCACACGAUCAUUUUAUACGCAGCAGCAGUCAGCAGCUGCAGCAUACUCGGAUCCGACCGCAUACAUACUGUAAUAAACAGGCGUUCGGCGGCUUUUUACAUCACGACAGACUAUGCCAUUUGAGGAGGAACCGCUCAUUGAUCACCGUAUUUUUAUAAAUCCUGUACAUGUUUGGACCUGCCGAACAGGUUGAGCACUUUUAUAUACUUUGUUGAGCAGAGGCUGCACAGUUUGACCAGCGGGCUGCGGGAACCGGCCGCACAUCACGCCGCCAGACGGUGUUGCUAAUAUAACUCGAAAUGUAUAACUAUUAUCAGAUCGGCCCACCGGGAAGACUCUCCCGAUUGCCAUUCCGCUACUGGCUGUAAGAAAGUGAGUGCGUUUGGGUCGCUGGUCCCCGCGAACAGGUGUGACGUGCUUCACUCACCUUCCAGGAUUAGAGACAUGCUGCCAAAACCGUUUGUGCUGAAGAUCGCAUAAAGUUACACCCAUUUCAGUCAGGAUCAUGGACCCCCUCAAGCCAGCAUGCACGAGUAUGUUAAUUGUUUGUUUACUUUCUACACGAAGAUAUGCUAACGUUAUGCUAUCUGGCUGUCUGCCUAUCUCUCUAUACUAGCCUAUCCAUCUGUCUGUCUGUCUGUCUG